Molecule: ribosomal RNA, 446 nt
Filed under: uncultured bacterium
Lineage: Bacteria
Description: bacterial SSU rRNA
Rfam family: Bacterial small subunit ribosomal RNA
Source: RNAcentral
GUCCAGACUCCUACGGGAGGCAGCAGUGGGGAAUAUUGCACAAUGGGGGAAACCCUGAUGCAGCGACGCCGCGUGAGCGAUGAAGUAUUUCGGUAUGUAAAGCUCUAUCAGCAGGGAAGAAGAUGACGGUACCUGACUAAGAAGCCCCGGCUAACUACGUGCCAGCAGCCGCGGUAAUACGUAGGGGGCAGGCGUUAUCCGGAUUUACUGGGUGUAAAGGGAGCGUAGACGGCGAUGCAAGCCAGAUGUGAAAGCCCGGGGCUCAACCCCGGGACUGCAUUUGGAACUGUGUGGCUGGAGUGUCGGAGAGGCAGGCGGAAUUCCUAGUGUAGCGGUGAAAUGCGUAGAUAUUAGGAGGAACACCAGUGGCGAAGGCGGCCUGCUGGACGAUGACUGACGUUGAGGCUCGAAAGCGUGGGGAGCAAACAGGAUUAGAUACCCCCGUA